This 497-nucleotide ribosomal RNA is filed under the name uncultured bacterium. RNAcentral's name for it is "partial 16S ribosomal RNA". It matches the Rfam family "Bacterial small subunit ribosomal RNA", at positions 28 to 507 of the family's 1533-position model. The record is from RNAcentral.
GAUGAACGCUGGCGGCGUGCCUAAUACAUGCAAGUCGAGCGAACAGACGAGGAGCUUGCUCCUCUGACGUUAGCGGCGGACGGGUGAGUAACACGUGGAUAACCUACCUAUAAGACUGGGAUAACUUUGGGAAACCGGAGCUAAUACCGGAUAAUAUAUUGAACCGCAUGGUUCAAUAGUGAAGGACGGUUUUGCUGUCACUUAUAGAUGGAUCCGCGCCGCAUUAGCUAGUUGGUAAGGUAACGGCUUACCAAGGCAACGAUGCGUAGCCGACCUGAGAGGGUGAUCGGCCACACUGGAACUGAGACACGGUCCAGACUCCUACGGGAGGCAGCAGUAGGGAAUCUUCCGCAAUGGGCGAAAGCUUGACGGAGCAACGCCGCGUGAGUGAUGAAGGUCUUCGGAUCGUAAAACUCUGUUAUUAGGGAAGAACAAAUGUGUAAGUAACUAUGCACGUCUUGACGGUACCUAAUCAGAAAGCCACGGCUAACUACGUG